GAUGAAGAACGCAGCGAAAUGCGAUAAGUAAUGUGAAUUGCAGAAUUCAGUGAAUCAUCGAAUCUUUGAACGCACAUUGCGCCCCUUGGUAUUCCGAGGGGCAUGCCUGUUCGAGCGUCAUUACACCACUCAAGCUAUGCUUGGUAUUGGGCGUCGUCCUUAGUUGGGCGCGCCUUAAAGACCUCGGCGAGGCCACUCCGGCUUUAGGCGUAGUAGAAUUUAUUCGAACGUCUGUCAAAGGAGAGGAACUCUGCCGACUGAAACCUUUAUUUUUCUAGGUUGACCUCGGAUCAGGUAGGGAUACCAGCUGAACUUAAGCAUAUCAAUAAGCGGAGGA
This 337-nucleotide unclassified non-coding RNA is filed under the name soil metagenome. RNAcentral describes it as "partial contains 5.8S ribosomal RNA, internal transcribed spacer 2, and large subunit ribosomal RNA". The stretch from base 1 to 120 matches the Rfam family "5.8S ribosomal RNA", at positions 35 to 154 of the family's 154-position model. The record is from RNAcentral.